Molecule: ribosomal RNA, 1508 nt
Filed under: gut metagenome
Description: bacterial SSU rRNA
Rfam family: Bacterial small subunit ribosomal RNA
Source: RNAcentral
AGAGUUUGAUCCUGGCUCAGGAUGAACGCUAGCUACAGGCUUAACACAUGCAAGUCGAGGGGCAGCAUGGUCUUAGCUUGCUAAGACUGAUGGCGACCGGCGCACGGGUGAGUAACACGUAUCCAACCUGCCGUCUACUCUUGGACAGCCUUCUGAAAGGAAGAUUAAUACAAGAUGGCAUCAUGAGUCCGCAUGUUCACAUGAUUAAAGGUAUUCCGGUAGACGAUGGGGAUGCGUUCCAUUAGAUAGUAGGCGGGGUAACGGCCCACCUAGUCUUCGAUGGAUAGGGGUUCUGAGAGGAAGGUCCCCCACAUUGGAACUGAGACACGGUCCAAACUCCUACGGGAGGCAGCAGUGAGGAAUAUUGGUCAAUGGGCGAGAGCCUGAACCAGCCAAGUAGCGUGAAGGAUGACUGCCCUAUGGGUUGUAAACUUCUUUUAUAAAGGAAUAAAGUCGGGUAUGCAUACCCGUUUGCAUGUACUUUAUGAAUAAGGAUCGGCUAACUCCGUGCCAGCAGCCGCGGUAAUACGGAGGAUCCGAGCGUUAUCCGGAUUUAUUGGGUUUAAAGGGAGCGUAGAUGGAUGUUUAAGUCAGUUGUGAAAGUUUGCGGCUCAACCGUAAAAUUGCAGUUGAUACUGGAUAUCUUGAGUGCAGUUGAGGCAGGCGGAAUUCGUGGUGUAGCGGUGAAAUGCUUAGAUAUCACGAAGAACUCCGAUUGCGAAGGCAGCCUGCUAAGCUGCAACUGACAUUGAGGCUCGAAAGUGUGGGUAUCAAACAGGAUUAGAUACCCUGGUAGUCCACACGGUAAACGAUGAAUACUCGCUGUUUGCGAUAUACAGCAAGCGGCCAAGCGAAAGCGUUAAGUAUUCCACCUGGGGAGUACGCCGGCAACGGUGAAACUCAAAGGAAUUGACGGGGGCCCGCACAAGCGGAGGAACAUGUGGUUUAAUUCGAUGAUACGCGAGGAACCUUACCCGGGCUUAAAUUGCAGAUGAAUUACGGUGAAAGCCGUAAGCCGCAAGGCAUCUGUGAAGGUGCUGCAUGGUUGUCGUCAGCUCGUGCCGUGAGGUGUCGGCUUAAGUGCCAUAACGAGCGCAACCCUUGUUGUCAGUUACUAACAGGUUCCGCUGAGGACUCUGACAAGACUGCCAUCGUAAGAUGUGAGGAAGGUGGGGAUGACGUCAAAUCAGCACGGCCCUUACGUCCGGGGCUACACACGUGUUACAAUGGGGGGUACAGAGGGCCGCUACCACGCGAGUGGAUGCCAAUCCCAAAAACCUCUCUCAGUUCGGACUGGAGUCUGCAACCCGACUCCACGAAGCUGGAUUCGCUAGUAAUCGCGCAUCAGCCACGGCGCGGUGAAUACGUUCCCGGGCCUUGUACACACCGCCCGUCAAGCCAUGGGAGCCGGGGGUACCUGAAGUGCGUAACCGCGAGGAGCGCCCUAGGGUAAAACUGGUGACUGGGGCUAAGUCGUAACAAGGUAGCCGUACCGGAAGGUGCGGCUG